UCCCUGGUGGCUCAGAUGGUAAAGAAUCUGCUUGUGAUGCAACAGACCUAGGUUCAAUCCCUGGCUGAGGAA
Molecule: non-coding RNA, 72 nt
Organism: Bos taurus (domestic cattle)
Lineage: Eukaryota; Metazoa; Chordata; Mammalia; Artiodactyla; Bovidae
Source: Rfam